CACCGGCGAGCGGCAGAUCUCGCGAGAUUCAUCACCAUGGCAGCGGCUGCAGCAGAAGCAACCGGCCAUGUGGUAUGGUUUUCUCCUGUGAUGCCCAGCAGUAGCAGUGAGUUGCAGCUCCUGGCCAGCUAUACCAUCACAAGGGUGUUCAAGGAGCAGAAGAGGAUGACAGCUCCCUGACAAGGCCCUCCUACUGUGGAGGAGAAAGCCACACAUCACAGACUCCACCUGACCCAAAGCUGUUUCCAGGUAGACACUUUGAGCUGCCAGGGGCCAAGAU
Bubalus bubalis (water buffalo) is the source of this 280-nucleotide long non-coding RNA. RefSeq lists it as uncharacterized. The record is from RefSeq and is a predicted model, not a curated record. Lineage: Eukaryota; Metazoa; Chordata; Mammalia; Artiodactyla; Bovidae. The transcript has 3 exons.